RNAcentral lists this ribosomal RNA (253 nucleotides) under uncultured bacterium. RNAcentral describes it as "partial 16S ribosomal RNA". It matches the Rfam family "Bacterial small subunit ribosomal RNA", at positions 524 to 776 of the family's 1533-position model. The record is from RNAcentral.
GACGUAGGGCGCGAGCGUUGUCCGGAUUUAUUGGGCGUAAAGAGCUCGUAGGCGGCUUGUUGCGUCGACCGUGAAAACCCGGGGCUCAACUUCGGGCUUGCGGUCGAUACGGGCGGGCUAGAGUUCGGUAGGGGAGACUGGAAUUCCUGGUGUAGCGGUGAAAUGCGCAGAUAUCAGGAGGAACACCGGUGGCGAAGGCGGGUCUCUGAGCCGAUACUGACGCUGAGGAGCGAAAGCGUGGGGAGCGAACAGG